CUUCGGUACAUCGGUGACAGGUGGUGCAUGGUUGUCGUCAGCUCGUGUCGUGAGAUGUUGGUUAAGUCCCGCAACGAGCGCAACCCCUAUUGUUAGUUGCCAUCAUUCAGUUGGGCACUCUAGCGAGACUGCCGGUAAUAAACCGGAGGAAGGUGGGGAUGACGUCAAAUCAUCAUGCCCCUUAUGACCUGGGCUACACACGUGCUACAAUGGUUGGUACAACGAGUUGCGAGUCGGUGACGGCGAGCUAAUCUCUUAAAGCCAAUCUCAGUUCGGAUUGUAGGCUGCAACUCGCCUACCAUGAAGUCGGAAUCGCUAGUAAUCGCGGAUCAGCACGCCGCGGUGAAUACGUUCCCGGGCCUU
Molecule: ribosomal RNA, 363 nt
Filed under: uncultured Streptococcus sp.
Lineage: Bacteria; Bacillati; Bacillota; Bacilli; Lactobacillales; Streptococcaceae
Description: bacterial SSU rRNA
Rfam family: Bacterial small subunit ribosomal RNA
Source: RNAcentral